Cydia pomonella (codling moth) is the source of this 1642-nucleotide long non-coding RNA. RefSeq lists it as uncharacterized. Lineage: Eukaryota; Metazoa; Arthropoda; Insecta; Lepidoptera; Tortricidae. The transcript has 3 exons. The record is from RefSeq and is a predicted model, not a curated record.
AUUGAUUAUGUUUAUAGUUUCAUAUAUUUUUUCGUUUAUACAAUGAUCGACUUACGAAAACAUCAUUUAAUCAUAAGGUGUUUCAUGGAUUGAACCGUGCGUUUGCAAAUUUGGCACUUAAACAUUAUUAUAUUAAGUUUACUUUUGUAUGAAACGCUUAGCUUGACACAAAAUAUGAAGAAGCUUUAUCGGCAUCUAUAGUGACCAUUGGCAACGCGCAUGUCAACUCUGAAGUAGCAGGCGUCUACGGGCUACGGUGACUGCUUACUAUCAGGCGGAGUGAUAAGGGCACUCACUAUCACAGCGACCAUCAUUCGAUGCGAGAGGUGUCCAUGGGCGGCAGUGAUCGCUUACCAUCAGGUGAUCCGUCUGCUCGUUUGCCUACUCUAUCAUUAAAAAAAAGUGUGGGGCUUAGUCAAUUUGUGUAAGAGUGUCGUAUAAUAGUUGUCGGAACUUUGACAUUUGUGGCAGUAAUCCAGUCGACAGAGCAGCGCCGGAAUACAGCCAUUACUGCGGCUGGGACAUCCUGAAUCCAGACGUCACCUUUACUCUCGUAAUACAGCCCUGAAUAGCAGCCUUAAAGCUUCAAAACAGAAAAUACCACGCACCCAUUUGACGUGCCUCAAGAAUGCAAAUCGCCGUGCGGCCGAUAAAUCCCGGUUCAUAUUUAUUCGGGCCUGGUUACUCUGAUUGGUCCGCAUUUGCUCCCGAUUUAUCGCCAUGGCCUAAUUUAUGUUUGUAAGUAAACCCGUGCUUUGUUGCGGCUUGAGCACGUCCGUGUGUUGUUAUACUAUACAGGUGGCCCAAAAUAGGUUGACAGUAUUUUAUUUAAUAGGACACUGAAAUAAAAUUGGCACCCGUUUUCUCUAUGGAAUCCUAAGUUGAGGUCUGUUUACAAUUAUACCGUAAUAGCUAGAGCCACAGCGGCACAAAUUGGGAGAGUAAUCUUAUACAUUGAGUAAAAAAGUAUCUACAUAUAUCAUUUAAGGAUUAAUAAAGCCUUAAUCUAUCAAGCUGGGUAUUAAUACCAGCAAAUGUCUGUAAAUAACGAAAUUAAUUUUACUGUGAAAAUGCAUGUAAAGGAGUUUUAUCUACUUCCAGUAACUGACUUACUCGACAUAUAUGUACCGGAAUGGUGCCCCAAAGCAAUCAGACAAAAUUUCCAGAUGCAAUAAAAUUAUUUGCUUGGAAAUCUUCUUCAUUAUGUUUUUAAGAACUAUUUAACACAUUUUAGAAAAAGGUCACUUCUGUGGACAACACAAUAGAAUUUUACGUCUCUUCUACUCUUAUAUUAUCUAGUACUUAUACAGGGUGGACAAAUAAGAAUGAUACACUUUGUUUUUAAAUUUUAAUUACCUUCAGCGGAAAUUUUAUUAAAUAUUUUUUCAUACUUAUAUUAUCAGGGUUGGCAAUUGUAUACGGAAGAUAAUUUCUGCCAAAUGUAUACCACUAGCAGCAAGCAAUUUUAUCUCAAAUGUUUCUGUUGUUUAAAACACGUUGUUUGCUCGAUUAAUUUUGAAAAAAAGUGACAGUGCAAUUGGCAACCAAAUUCCCCAAAUUUUGCAGCUCUUGACUUAUUUCUGUGGGGCUAUUUAAAAUUACGUGUCUAUGCUAACGAGCUGAUGAAAUUUAAAACCGACUA